CGCACAUUGCGCCCCUUGGUAUUCCGAGGGGCAUGCCUGUUCGAGCGUCAUAUUGACCAACUCCCGCUUCGGCGGGGUCUUGGGCUUCGCCUCUGGGCGGGCCUCAAAAUCAGUGGCGGUGCCUAUUUGGCCCUACGCGUAGUAAUACUCCUCGCGAUAGGGACCGGUAGUUGCUUGCCAGCAACCCCCAACUUUCUAAGGUUGACCUCGGAUCAGGUAGGGAUACCCGCUGAACUUAA
This 239-nucleotide unclassified non-coding RNA is filed under the name Hymenoscyphus fructigenus. RNAcentral describes it as "partial contains 5.8S ribosomal RNA, internal transcribed spacer 2, and large subunit ribosomal RNA". The record is from RNAcentral. Lineage: Eukaryota; Fungi; Ascomycota; Leotiomycetes; Helotiales; Helotiaceae.